AAUGCCUUAGUUUCUCUCAGAUCAUAUAAAUCUUUUGCCUUUUACAAAAGAUUCCCAUGGAGAUAACACACUUUCAGUAGUUUUUAACUAAUUUGAGUCUUGCCUUAGCAGGGC
Molecule: small nuclear RNA, 114 nt
Filed under: Aotus nancymaae (Ma's night monkey)
Lineage: Eukaryota; Metazoa; Chordata; Mammalia; Primates; Aotidae
Description: U5 spliceosomal RNA (ENSANAG00000010608.1)
Rfam family: U5 spliceosomal RNA
About the family: U5 RNA is a component of both types of known spliceosome.
Source: Rfam by way of RNAcentral